RNAcentral lists this ribosomal RNA (689 nucleotides) under uncultured Hyphomicrobium sp. RNAcentral describes it as "bacterial SSU rRNA". It matches the Rfam family "Bacterial small subunit ribosomal RNA", at positions 56 to 725 of the family's 1533-position model. Lineage: Bacteria; Pseudomonadati; Pseudomonadota; Alphaproteobacteria; Hyphomicrobiales; Hyphomicrobiaceae. The record is from RNAcentral.
UGCAGUCGAGCGGCAGCGACAACAUUGAACCUUCGGGUGAUUUGUUGGGCGGCGAGCGGCGGACGGGUGAGUAAUGCCUGGGAAUAUGCCUUAGUGUGGGGGAUAACUAUUGGAAACGAUAGCUAAUACCGCAUAACGUCUUCGGACCAAAGAGGGGGACCUUCGGGCCUCUCGCGCUAAGAUUAGCCCAGGUGGGAUUAGCUAGUUGGUGAGGUAACGGCUCACCAAGGCGACGAUCCCUAGCUGGUUUGAGAGGAUGAUCAGCCACACUGGAACUGAGACACGGUCCAGACUCCUACGGGAGGCAGCAGUGGGGAAUAUUGCACAAUGGGGGAAACCCUGAUGCAGCCAUGCCGCGUGUAUGAAGAAGGCCUUCGGGUUGUAAAGUACUUUCAGUCGUGAGGAAGGGGUAAUCAUUAAUAGUGGUUGUCUUUGACGUUAGCGACAGAAGAAGCACCGGCUAACUCCGUGCCAGCAGCCGCGGUAAUACGGAGGGUGCGAGCGUUAAUCGGAAUUACUGGGCGUAAAGCGCAUGCAGGCGGUCUGUUAAGCAAGAUGUGAAAGCCCGGGGCUCAACCUCGGAACCGCAUUUUGAACUGGCAGACUAGAGUCUUGUAGAGGGGGGUAGAAUUUCAGGUGUAGCGGUGAAAUGCGUAGAGAUGCAGUCGAGUGCAGUCGAGGAAGGCGGC